Molecule: ribosomal RNA, 497 nt
Filed under: uncultured bacterium
Lineage: Bacteria
Description: partial 16S ribosomal RNA
Rfam family: Bacterial small subunit ribosomal RNA
Source: RNAcentral
GAUGAACGCUGGCGGCGUGCCUAAUACAUGCAAGUCGAGCGAACGGACGAGAAGCUUGCUUCUCUGAUGUUAGCGGCGGACGGGUGAGUAACACGUGGAUAACCUACCUAUAAGACUGGGAUAACUUCGGGAAACCGGAGCUAAUACCGGAUAAUAUUUUGAACCGCAUGGUUCAAAAGUGAAAGACGGUCUUGCUGUCACUUAUAGAUGGAUCUGCGCUGCAUUAGCUAGUUGGUAAGGUAACGGCUUACCAAGGCAACGAUGCAUAGCCGACCUGAGAGGGUGAUCGGCCACACUGGAACUGAGACACGGUCCAGACUCCUACGGGAGGCAGCAGUAGGGAAUCUUCCGCAAUGGGCGAAAGCCCGACGGAGCAACGCCGCGUGAGUGAUGAAGGUCUUCGGAUCGUAAAACUCUGUUAUUAGGGAAGAACAUAUGUGUAAGUAACUGUGCACAUCUUGACGGUACCUAAUCAGAAAGCCACGGCUAACUACGUG